GGCGGACGGGUGAGUAACGCGUGGGUAACCUGCCCUUUUGUGGGGAGACAACUUCGAGAAAUCGGAGCUAAUACCGCAUAAUAAUAGAGGAUCGCAUGAUUCUUUAAGGAAAGAUGGCCUCUGAAGAUGCUAUCGCAAAAGGAUGGACCCGCGUCUGAUUAGCUAGUUGGAAGGGUAACGGCCUACCAAGGCAACGAUCAGUAGCCGGCCUGAGAGGGUGAACGGCCACAUUGGGACUGAGACACGGCCCAAACUCCUACGGGAGGCAGCAGUGGGGAAUCUUCCGCAAUGGGCGAAAGCCUGACGGAGCAAUGCCGCGUGAGUGAAGAAGGCCUUCGGGUUGUAAAACUCUGUCCUUAUCGAAGAGAGGUAGGUAUGUGAAUAAUGUACCUAUAGGACGGUAGAUAAGGAGGAAGCCCCGGCUAACUACGUGCCAGCAGCCGCGGUAAUACGUAGGGGGCGAGCGUUGUCCGGAAUCACUGGGCGUAAAGGGCGCGUAGGCGGUUUAAUAAGUCAGUGGUGAAAACUGAGGGCUCAACUCUCAGCCUGCCACUGAUACUGUUAGACUUGAGUAUGGAAGAGGAGAAUGGAAUUCCUAGUGUAGCGGUGAAAUGCGUAGAUAUUAGGAGGAACACCAGUGGCGAAGGCGAUUCUCUGGGCCAAGACUGACGCUGAGGCGCGAAAGCGUGGGGAGCAAACAGGAUUAGAUACCCUGGUAGUCCACGCCGUAAACGAUGGAUACUAGGUGUUAGUAGUUUCGAUGCUACUAGUGCC
This 774-nucleotide ribosomal RNA is filed under the name uncultured bacterium. RNAcentral describes it as "bacterial SSU rRNA". It matches the Rfam family "Bacterial small subunit ribosomal RNA", at positions 97 to 847 of the family's 1533-position model. The record is from RNAcentral.